GGAGGAAUGGCUGAGUGGUCUAAAGCAGCAGCGUGCUAAGCUGUCGUAAUGAAAGUUACCGUAAGUUCGAAUCUUGCUUCCUCCG
Molecule: transfer RNA, 85 nt
Filed under: Rickettsiales bacterium (ex Bugula neritina AB1)
Lineage: Bacteria; Pseudomonadati; Pseudomonadota; Alphaproteobacteria; Rickettsiales
Description: tRNA-Ser
Rfam family: tRNA
About the family: Transfer RNA (tRNA) molecules are approximately 80 nucleotides in length. Their secondary structure includes four short double-helical elements and three loops (D, anti-codon, and T loops).
Source: RNAcentral